GGAGAGUGAAUAAUUUGGAGAGGAAUGUGAAAGGAUGGAGUUUUAAGAAUUAGGAAUUUGAUAAGUUUUAUUUCAUCCAGGCAAUCACGUUUUUAUACCCAUUACACAUUUUGUAAAAUUAAAAACUAUUGGGAUUUCUUUAAUAAAAUAAAUAUAAAUUUAAGAAUUGGGGAUUUAGGGAAAUCACGAUGAUUUAAACCCUACCCAAAUCAAAAUCGUUCAGCCAUCCGGGUGCGCGUCUGUUGCGUGUACUUCUCCGGCUCGGCUCCGGUUCAUGACCGCUCAACGGUUCUGGAUCGACGCUCUCCGCGAUUUCAGAAUUUGAGUCUUCUUCUUCUGGCACGGCUGCAGCUCUGAUAUGCUCUACAUCCUCCCUUAAUGUGCUGAAGUCCAUCGGAGUCGCAUCAAAUAGCGGACGCGAACCGCCAGGCCCGACUUCGCGGACCCUGACAAGAAGUGGCGCAGGUUAGUAGCCGGGAAGGACUAAGACCCACGAGAGCCGCGAUGGCCGCGCGACCGAUGGCGACAGGCGGCAGUUCCGUCUGGAGCGGCGUGCACGGAACAACGGAAACUCGACGUAACGCCACCAACAGGAGCCGCGGCAGGGGCCUCGGGGACCGGAACACCAGCAAGAAGGUCAGAACGACGGAGCCUGGAGAGACGGCGGUGAAUAUCUAUCAACACAGAGUUGAGGCGUUGAGUCUCCGACACAACCACGGUAUGGGAGAUGCCAGGCACGCGGCCCACGCAGCAUGCUGAAGCUGCACUUCACGACCGUAUUCCUCCAGGACAUCUUGGCCACUCAUCGUAGAAGAAGAGAGGAUUGAAGAAUGGAUCUAUUUUCAAAU
RNAcentral lists this long non-coding RNA (848 nucleotides) under Zostera marina. RNAcentral's name for it is "long non-coding RNA (ZMAR_LNC003613)". The record is from RNAcentral. Lineage: Eukaryota; Viridiplantae; Streptophyta; Magnoliopsida; Alismatales; Zosteraceae.